RNAcentral lists this transfer RNA (72 nucleotides) under Bos taurus (domestic cattle). It matches the Rfam family "tRNA". Rfam says of the family: Transfer RNA (tRNA) molecules are approximately 80 nucleotides in length. RNAcentral also lists the same sequence under 1 other name. Lineage: Eukaryota; Metazoa; Chordata; Mammalia; Artiodactyla; Bovidae. The record is from Rfam by way of RNAcentral.
UCCCUGGUGUCUCAGAUGGUGAAGAAUCUGCCUACAAUGCAGGAGACUCAGGUUUGAUCCCUGGAUUGGGAA